CCUGUUGUGGGGUGAAGCAAGUGUACAAAUUAACAUCGGCUGUGGGUUCGGGGUAGAGCUGAGUGCCGCGGCUGUUACGGCUCGUACCAUACCACGUGAAUAAUAACCGUUGAAAACGUGAAACACGUGAUGGACACAAUUAUUGAUAAUCGCCCUAUCAUAAUCAAUUAUUCAUAUAUGUACCUAGCAAUAGCUGUGAAAUGCUGCCACAACAGGCGGCAACGCCAAGGAAACAAGUGGACAAGCCAAAUUCGGACAGUUACAGCUAUUGCGUGGUGCUGCCAGAUGUGCUAAGUGGCAACACUGAAAACAUUUAAGCUGCUUGUUAAUUUUAGCAGGCAGAGAAGCAGGUUAACAAGAGGAUAAAGUCAAUGGAGUAUAAAUAAAUGCAAUUAUUGAGGUACUUACUGACGCCGUAGAAGCCGGCAUAGAAGAUCAUGAUGGAGCCGCGAUAACCGAUGACCUUGGCGACAGGAUCCACCAGAAUGGGCAAGUUGCCGCCAAUGUUGUUCAUGACAAAGAGAAAGACGCCAAUCGUCGAGGAGCGAACGCGCAGCGGCACAAUCUCAACGACAAUGGCAAACACGAUGCCGAACCACAUUUCGGCAAAAAAGUAGCUCAGACCGAGCGUUAUCAUUGCCCACAAGGGCUCAAAGUAGACGGAACCAAAAGCAGGCAGUGUGGCAAUCAAUUGGCUAAUGGCCAAAACAAAGGCACGCGAACGGAUGCCCAUUUUGGCGACAAUCUUGUCGGAGACAAUGCCGCCGACAACAACGCCGACGCUGCCAAUGCCAAUGGUGACGGCGAAUAGCCACCAGCCGAGAUCCACGUCCGGGAAAUAGGUAUUAUAAUAGAGGUCUGCAUUGUAGGCAAAGGUCAUGCCGCCGCUGUGACGUAUGGAUGCGGCUAUCAUUAGCAUUAUCAUCGCCGGACUUUUGAUGACCUGCCACAGAGUGACGGGUUUGCCGCUAGCCGAGGUGCGAUCGCCCUCGCCAAUCGAUUUGCGUUCCGGUUCGCGCAGCGUGGUGCCCGUCAGUCCGGCCACAAUGAUCGUCAGGACACCGGCGCCCAAAUAGCAUACACGCCAGCCCAUAUCGAAGAAGUUGAGCUUGGUGAUGUAGCGGCCGACGGGAAAGGCAAUGCCAUAGCCGCCAUAGAUGCCCCAGUUGAAUAUGGCCAUGACCAGGGCGCGUUUGUUCUCCGGAAAGAUGUCGGACAUGAUGCCCGUCGCAAGUGGAUUACAACCCGAUUCACCGGCAGCCAUAACCAUGCGCAGCAGCACCAAAUGCCAGUACUCCUUGACGGUGCCCUGCAGCAGAAUGGCAAUGCCAAAGAUGAUGGUGCACACGGUCAGCAUUUUGACCCGAUUGUAUUUAUCGGCCGCAAAGCCCAUAAAGACGCCCGCUAUGGUGAAGACCAGUAUGAACGUGGGCCCGGCCAAUAUCUGAUAAUCGAUGCCCAGUCCAUUGUAGUUCCAUUCGCAGUAACCAGUGCCGUUCAUGUCCAGCGCAUAGCAGCUGGUCUCGUUCUUCACAUCGCUGCACUGGGUGACCAGCUCGUGGCGCGUGAACAGGCUGCUGUUCUGCUGGCACGCAUGAUCGCCAUAGUCCAGCUCAAUGGCCGUCUGCUUGGAUGUAACGCCUAUCAGAUAGUGGCCCAGUUCGCCCAGUAUAUAGCCAAUGGUGAGUAUGCCCAGCACAUAGCUGCUGUAGAAGCCGCUCAGUUUCUCCAAGAUCGGAAUCAUCCUUCGGCUGUCAGAGCUGUUCAACGAGAUGGAAUAGUUACAGGGGAUUAGAACUCUGCACUGGUAUUUCAAUUGAUUUGUCCCAAGAGCUCGUCUUCCAGCUACAAACUUGUGUAAGGAUUUCUCUAGCUCUGGCAACCAAUCAAUAUAAACAGAUGGAAUAUAAAAGAGCUACAAGUUUUUUUAAAGGUUGGCAUUUGCAUUUUUGAGUAUGCCUUUUAUGCUACACUAGGAAGAACUAAUACUCAAUGAUUAUAGACUGAAACUUAAGGAGUUACACAGAAAAUGUAGAGCUCCGCAAUGCUAUUCAAAACGGUAAUCCUUAGACCUUAAUACAACAUAUUGUGCCAGGAUCUAGGAUACAUAAAGGAUCUACGAUACAUAAAGACUGAGGACCCAAAAAUCCACCUUAAGAGAGCCUCAAGUAAACAUGGACCUAUUUGAAGCUAAUAAUUUGCCUACUUAAUUGGGGCAAUUCUAAUGUAUUCUCAUCUAUGGAAGAUGUUUCGAAUAAAAUCUACCAAUAUAUUUCUUACCCUAUA
Non-coding RNA from Drosophila virilis, 2286 nucleotides. Lineage: Eukaryota; Metazoa; Arthropoda; Insecta; Diptera; Drosophilidae. The record is from RefSeq and is a predicted model, not a curated record.